GUGAUAUCCGACCACUGGAGGCAGCAAUCUUCGUCGCCGAGGAUCGGUGGCCACGGCGGAGACCCACCGUCCCAUGGCCGGUCAGAAAGGGGGUUGAGGGAACAAAGAGAGUUUUUUUUUAAAAGGUUACAAAGGAUUUUUUUUAAGUUUUUUUUAACUUUUAUAAGCCCCUUAAAACAGCGUCGUUUUGGGCUUCGCUUCAUAAGCCCAAAAUGGCAUCGUUUCGAACCUGAUCUGAAUAUUCAACCCGACCCCUCCUAGGAUCCACGUGUUUUUGAAUGGAGG
RNAcentral lists this long non-coding RNA (285 nucleotides) under Gossypium raimondii (Peruvian cotton). RNAcentral's name for it is "long non-coding RNA (GRAI_LNC006041)". The record is from RNAcentral. Lineage: Eukaryota; Viridiplantae; Streptophyta; Magnoliopsida; Malvales; Malvaceae.